Molecule: transfer RNA, 85 nt
Filed under: Anaeromassilibacillus senegalensis
Lineage: Bacteria; Bacillati; Bacillota; Clostridia; Eubacteriales; Acutalibacteraceae
Also listed under: 5 other names
Description: tRNA-Leu
Rfam family: tRNA
About the family: Transfer RNA (tRNA) molecules are approximately 80 nucleotides in length. Their secondary structure includes four short double-helical elements and three loops (D, anti-codon, and T loops). Further hydrogen bonds mediate the characteristic L-shaped molecular structure. tRNAs have two regions of fundamental functional importance: the anti-codon, which is responsible for specific mRNA codon recognition, and the 3' end, to which the tRNAs corresponding amino acid is attached (by aminoacyl-tRNA synthetases). tRNAs cope with the degeneracy of the genetic code in two manners: having more than one tRNA (with a specific anti-codon) for a particular amino acid; and 'wobble' base-pairing, i.e. permitting non-standard base-pairing at the 3rd anti-codon position.
Source: RNAcentral
GCGGGUGUGGCGGAAUUGGCAGACGCACAAGAUUUAGGUUCUUGCGCUGCAAAGCGUGCAGGUUCAAGUCCUGUCACCCGCACCA